UACGGGGGGGGCAAGCGUUGCUCGGAAUCAUUGGGCGUAAAGGGCGCGUAGGCGGCCUGCUAAGUUGAUUGUGAAAUCCCACGGCUCAACCGUGGAACUGCGACCAAUACUGGCGGGCUUGAGUGUGGGAGAGGAAAGCGGAAUUCCCAGUGUAGCGGUGAAAUGCGUAGAUAUUGGGAGGAACACCAGUGGCGAAGGCGGCUUUCUGGACCACAACUGACGCUGAGGCGCGAAAGCUAGGGGAGCAAAC
This 250-nucleotide ribosomal RNA is filed under the name uncultured bacterium. RNAcentral describes it as "partial 16S ribosomal RNA". It matches the Rfam family "Bacterial small subunit ribosomal RNA", at positions 524 to 773 of the family's 1533-position model. The record is from RNAcentral.